AAGAGAAUAAAGCUUGUCUUUGAACUUUGAACUUUUUCUUUGAAGAGCAUCGAAGCCCACCGGUUCAGGAGUCGGAGCCAGAACUUUGUGGGUUUCGGAGUCAGAGGCUUGGCCACGCCCCCUGCCUGCAAAGUACGCACCUGGAUCAAAUUACUCAACCUCUGGGUCUUACUCGGAGACACGCCUCCGGGAGCCUUCAGACGGCUGAAACCUGAGCCAGCCGCCGCUAGUCUCUGACCCCGACCCGCCCAGCCCGUCGUCGGGGCUCAAACCAAGUGUGCCUUGUUGAUGGAUGACACCGAGGCUUUUCACCCCAUUUGCUCAACCGCAAAACUGCGCUCUUAGAGCAAGAGAGAAGUCAGCAGGCACGGCAGGGACCCCGCGGGGGCGGGUACGGGGAUCUGGUUCUGACCGCUGUGGACGACCCGCCGCAGCCCUAAGGAGUGAUCCGGGCACUGCCCACCCGCCCGGGGCUCGUGUCUGAACCAGCCCCUGCGAGGUCGAGGCCCGAGGCCCACACUGACCUUGGACUGGGCGCUCGCCGGCAGGUCGAGGAUCCGAGAAGACAGGGGACCCGCGUUCUCCACUGGACCUAAACGAGUGGAUGGGUCGGACGACCCUCAAAGCCUGAGGCUUUGAGCCGGGUUUUCAAGCCGGGGAAAGGUUGAGGGGAGAUCCGACCGCGCUGCAGCUCGUGGACACCCCCUCGGAGAGUGUGCGCGCCCUGUGAAUGUCUCCAUAGAAGGAUCCGGAAAAGCGGCGGGAUGCAUCGACCUUUGCCUGUGGGGAUUUCAAGAUACGUGUCUUAUUCACGCAUCGGUUCAUUUGUUCGUUCAUUUCUUGAGCUCCCACCCCGUGCUGGGAACUGUGCGGUGUGCACUCUUCACCUCGAUUUCGACAAACACAAAUAAACAGCCCCGACUAAUCAGAGUGAGGUGAAAUUCACUGACCCGAAAGUCUCCUGGGACAGGCUGGGUAGGGGUGGGGGGAGGGGGGCUCUGAAACCCCCGCAACUUCCCCC
Phacochoerus africanus (Common warthog) is the source of this 1021-nucleotide long non-coding RNA. RefSeq lists it as uncharacterized. The transcript is spliced from 3 exons. NCBI's taxonomy places the organism in Eukaryota, Metazoa, Chordata, Mammalia, Artiodactyla, Suidae. The record is from RefSeq and is a predicted model, not a curated record.